Molecule: ribosomal RNA, 253 nt
Filed under: uncultured bacterium
Lineage: Bacteria
Description: partial 16S ribosomal RNA
Rfam family: Bacterial small subunit ribosomal RNA
Source: RNAcentral
UACGUAGGGUGCGAGCGUUGUCCGGAAUUAUUGGGCGUAAAGGGCUCGUAGGCGGUUUGUCGCGUCGGGAGUGAAAACCUUGGGCUUAACUCAGGGCUUGCUUUCGAUACGGGCAGACUAGAGGUAUGCAGGGGAGAACGGAAUUCCUGGUGUAGCGGUGAAAUGCGCAGAUAUCAGGAGGAACACCGGUGGCGAAGGCGGUUCUCUGGGCAUGAUCUGACGCUGAGGAGCGAAGGUGUGGGGAGCGAACAGG